UACGAAGGCCCCAAGCGUUAUCCGGAUUUAUUGGGCGUAAAGCGUUCAAAGGCGGUUUUGUGUGUCACUUGUUAAAUCUUACGGCUCAACCGUGAGACAGCCUGUGAAACUGCAAGACUUGAGGACGGGAGAGGUAUGCGGAAUUACCGGUGUAGUAGUAAAAUGCGUUAAUAUCGGUAGGAACACCAAUGGCGAAAGCAGCAUACUAGAACGUCUCUGACGCUAAAGAACGAAAGCGUGGGUAGCGAAUGGG
RNAcentral lists this unclassified non-coding RNA (253 nucleotides) under Patescibacteria group bacterium. RNAcentral describes it as "contains 16S-23S intergenic spacer region". It matches the Rfam family "Bacterial small subunit ribosomal RNA", at positions 524 to 776 of the family's 1533-position model. The record is from RNAcentral.